GACCUUACUUCCCCUUCAGUGGGAACCCUUUAACCAGGGUCAGCAGUCAUGUGUGUCACUGCUUCUGCCAACACACUGGCGUGGACAACUGUGAGCAGAUCAUGUCUUGUAAGAAAGGAAUCCAUAGCAGCCUUUGCUCCUUGGAGAAGCUGCUGCAGUGCUCUGACUGCUCUGAGGUAGAGAACUGGUGAGUCAAGGCAGGAUCUCGCGAGUAAGUGGCAUGUAUCCACACUGACACAGGUGAGACACGGUAUGGGUCCACCCCCAGGUCAGCCUUGAGAUGGCGGUCACCUUGAUAGACAUCUCAACUGCAGUGUUUCUCGUGGGAGACACUGACCAGACUCUCAACCCAUACCAUUGGUGAAAUACGUGGUGAAUACCUGGUGUCCUAUCCUUUCCAACUUGAGCCUAACAGAAUGACUCCUGAAAAGAAGGGUGGCAUGAAGGAGAAGAAAGAAAAGGAGAAGGAGAAGAAAGGAGAAGAGGAAGAAGAAAGAGGAGGAGGAGGUUUUGCCAUCAACAAGGUAGUGACCCAAGAAUAUACCAUCAACAUUCACAAGCACAUCCAUGGAGUGGGCUUUAAGAAGUGUGGCCCUCAGGAACUCAAAGAAAUAGAGAAAAUUGCCAUGAAGGAGAUGGGGAUUCCAUAUGUACACAUCAACACCAGGCUCAACAAAGCUGUGUGGCCCAAGGCCUUAUCUUUAAGGGUCAACUUGGAUAUACUCCACCUAUGAACCUCUACUCAUAUUGUUAUUUUCUUGUCUUGUUUGCAGUUCAAUAAAACACCCAGUAAUAACUGUG
This is a long non-coding RNA of Apodemus sylvaticus (European woodmouse), 801 nucleotides long. RefSeq lists it as uncharacterized. The transcript is spliced from 2 exons. The record is from RefSeq and is a predicted model, not a curated record. Lineage: Eukaryota; Metazoa; Chordata; Mammalia; Rodentia; Muridae.